CGGACGGGUGAGUAAUGUCGGGGAAACUGCCCGAUGGAGGGGGAUAACUACUGGAACGGUAGCUAAUACCGCAUAACGUCGCAAGACCAAAGAGGGGGACCUUCGGGCCUCUUGCCAUCGGAUGUGCCCAGAUGGGAUUAGCUAGUAGGUGGGGUAACGGCUCACCUAGGCGACGAUCCCUAGCUGGUCUGAGAGGAUGACCAGCCACACUGGAACUGAGACACGGUCCAG
RNAcentral lists this ribosomal RNA (231 nucleotides) under uncultured bacterium. RNAcentral's name for it is "partial 16S ribosomal RNA". It matches the Rfam family "Bacterial small subunit ribosomal RNA", at positions 99 to 334 of the family's 1533-position model. The record is from RNAcentral.